Molecule: long non-coding RNA, 1133 nt
Filed under: Homo sapiens (human)
Lineage: Eukaryota; Metazoa; Chordata; Mammalia; Primates; Hominidae
Description: HSALNT0280509
Source: RNAcentral
UCAGAGGAGGACGGGCCAUGGAAGGAGUUGGGACUUUCCCCCUUUUGGCCCUUGGCACCUUCAUCAGAACUUAGCCUGGGACUCCUUUCUCCGCUGACCUGGGGCAGCCAGUCUUGCAACCAAAGCCCUCUGCUGAAACGCUCCGUGCAGCCCUGUCUACUGAGGGCUCAGGAUCUUCACCUUGCUACUUGACCAGUCCUGGGACUCCAUCCUCAGCUCACUACAGGCAACACCCUUCAAAGCAAGAUCCUUGCUUCAAUGGGACCUCAGAUUUGGACAUUCAGGUUUCUGGGGCUCCACUAUGCACAGCUGGGGCUUCCCCCACCAGACCAAGAUUCUCCCUUCCCUGAGACCCUCCAGGCCGAAAUGACAGUCACCUCAACCUGACAGCUCUUCCUGAGCUUCCCAAGUCACAGGAGAGGUUGGAUUUGGGAAGCAAUGCUAAGCAGUGGAAUGGACAUCGACAUAGAGAGAUCAGCUCCACACUUAUACUCUGCCACUCAACUUCCCCAUGUGACUUGAGGAUCACUCUAACUCCAAAACAUAGCAAGCUCGCGGAACAUCAGGGUUCAUGCAAAGUAUUCCAAGGAGCCCCUUGAAGCAACAGAAUGGAUUGCUCUUCUAUGGUGGAAUGGCACCCUGGAUGAUUAAAACCGUAGCAGCAAACAAAACCUCCAUCAAGUAAGAAUUCAGAGUGUGAGAUAUCACGCACAGCCACGCGUGGAUCUUUAUAUACGUGUCAAUGUGUUUGAUUGUAUUUUUGCUUUCAAAGUAUGUAUUGAGCAUUUCUUCUAGGUCCUCAGUAACAUCUUUUUAAAAAAAAAAUAAAUGCUUAGGGAAUUGUUUUAUAUUAAACUCGCUUCCAUUGUUAUCAACUUGGAGAGUGUCCCUCAUACAUGGAGCUCUCUCACAGGAUUGACUUUUCAUAUUAGGAGUGUAAAUAAAAGUUGUUCCUUGGUUUGUGUAUUACAGAUAUUCCUGAAAACAGAGUCAAGUUAUAUUUCUAAAGUACUAGCGUCUGCUUAAAGAAAUGACAAGGUGAAGUCUUUCACAAAGUAAGCAUUCAAUGUAUGAUUUCUCUGCUAUGUAAAUCUGGUUGUUCAUACAGUUUCUAUGACAUAAUUGGCCACGAC